This 2643-nucleotide ribosomal RNA is filed under the name Streptococcus pneumoniae GA44386. RNAcentral's name for it is "bacterial LSU rRNA". It matches the Rfam family "Bacterial large subunit ribosomal RNA". Lineage: Bacteria; Bacillati; Bacillota; Bacilli; Lactobacillales; Streptococcaceae. The record is from RNAcentral.
GGAGGGCAAACCGAAGAGUUUACUCUUCGGGGUUGUAGGACUGCAAUGUGGACUCAAAGAUUAUAGAAGAAUGAUUUGGGAAGAUCAGCCAAAGAGAGUAAUAGCCUCGUAUUUAAAAUAGUCUUUGUACCUAGCAGUAUCCUGAGUACGGCGGGACACGUGAAAUCCCGUCGGAAUCUGGGAGGACCAUCUCCCAACCCUAAAUACUCCCUAGUGACCGAUAGUGAACCAGUACCGUGAGGGAAAGGUGAAAAGCACCCCGGGAGGGGAGUGAAAUAGAACCUGAAACCGUGUGCCUACAACAAGUUCGAGCCCGUUAAUGGGUGAGAGCGUGCCUUUUGUAGAAUGAACCGGCGAGUUACGUUAUGAUGCGAGGUUAAGUUGAAGAGACGGAGCCGUAGGGAAACCGAGUCUGAAUAGGGCGCCUUAGUAUCAUGACGUAGACCCGAAACCAUGUGACCUACCCAUGAGCAGGUUGAAGGUGCGGUAAGACGCACUGGAGGACCGAACCAGGGCACGUUGAAAAGUGCUUGGAUGACUUGUGGGUAGCGGAGAAAUUCCAAACGAACUUGGAGAUAGCUGGUUCUCUCCGAAAUAGCUUUAGGGCUAGCGUCGACAUUAGAGAUUCUUGGAGGUAGAGCACUGUUUGGGUGAGGGGUCCAUCCCGGAUUACCAAUCUCAGAUAAACUCCGAAUGCCAAUGAAUUAUGGUCGGCAGUCAGACUGCGAGUGCUAAGAUCCGUAGUCGAAAGGGAAACAGCCCAGACCACCAGCUAAGGUCCCAAAAUAAUUGUUAAGUGGAAAAGGAUGUGGGGUUGCACAGACAACUAGGAUGUUAGCUUAGAAGCAGCUAUUCAUUCAAAGAGUGCGUAAUAGCUCACUAGUCGAGUGACCCUGCGCCGAAAAUGUACCGGGGCUAAAACAAUUUACCAAAGCUGUGGAUACCUUUAUAGGUAUGGUAGGAGAGCGUUCUAUGUGUGAUGAAGGUAUACCGUGAGGAGUGCUGGAACGCAUAGAAGUGAGAAUGCCGGUAUGAGUAGCGAAAGACAGGUGAGAAUCCUGUCCACCGUAAGACUAAGGUUUCCAGGGGAAGGCUCGUCCGCCCUGGGUUAGUCGGGACCUAAGGAGAGACCGAAAGGUGUAUCCGAUGGACAACAGGUUGAUAUUCCUGUACUAGAGUAUGUAGUGAUGGAGGGACGCAGUAGGCUAACUAAAGCAGACGAUUGGAAGAGUCUGUCUAAGCAGUGAGGUGUGAAUUGAGUCAAAUGCUUAAUUCUAUAACAUUGAGCUGUGAUGGGGAGCGAAGUUUAGUAGCGAAGUUAGUGACGUCACACUGCCAAGAAAAGCUUCUAGCGUUUAAACAUACUCUACCCGUACCGCAAACCGACACAGGUAGUCGAGGCGAGUAGCCUCAGGUGAGCGAGAGAACUCUCGUUAAGGAACUCGGCAAAAUGACCCCGUAACUUCGGGAGAAGGGGUGCUGACUUAAAGUCAGCCGCAGUGAAUAGGCCCAAGCAACUGUUUAUCAAAAACACAGCUCUCUGCUAAAUCGUAAGAUGAUGUAUAGGGGGUGACGCCUGCCCGGUGCUGGAAGGUUAAGAGGAGUGCUUAGCGUAAGCGAAGGUAUGAAUUGAAGCCCCAGUAAACGGCGGCCGUAACUAUAACGGUCCUAAGGUAGCGAAAUUCCUUGUCGGGUAAGUUCCGACCCGCACGAAAGGCGUAAUGAUUUGGGCACUGUCUCAACGAGAGACUCGGUGAAAUUUUAGUACCUGUGAAGAUGCAGGUUACCCGCGACAGGACGGAAAGACCCCAUGGAGCUUUACUGCAGUUUGAUAUUGAGUGUCUGUACCACAUGUACAGGAUAGGUAGGAGUCUAAGAAAUCGGGACGCCAGUUUCGAAGGAGACGCUGUUGGGAUACUACCCUUGUGUUAUGGCCACUCUAACCCAGAUAGGUGAUCCCUAUCGGAGACAGUGUCUGACGGGCAGUUUGACUGGGGCGGUCGCCUCCUAAAAGGUAACGGAGGCGCCCAAAGGUUCCCUCAGAAUGGUUGGAAAUCAUUCGCAGAGUGUAAAGGUAUAAGGGAGCUUGACUGCGAGAGCUACAACUCGAGCAGGGACGAAAGUCGGGCUUAGUGAUCCGGUGGUUCCGUAUGGAAGGGCCAUCGCUCAACGGAUAAAAGCUACCCUGGGGAUAACAGGCUUAUCUCCCCCAAGAGUUCACAUCGACGGGGAGGUUUGGCACCUCGAUGUCGGCUCGUCGCAUCCUGGGGCUGUAGUCGGUCCCAAGGGUUGGGCUGUUCGCCCAUUAAAGCGGCACGCGAGCUGGGUUCAGAACGUCGUGAGACAGUUCGGUCCCUAUCCGUCGCGGGCGUAGGAAAUUUGAGAGGAUCUGCUCCUAGUACGAGAGGACCAGAGUGGACUUACCGCUGGUGUACCAGUUGUCUUGCCAAAGGCAUCGCUGGGUAGCUAUGUAGGGAAGGGAUAAACGCUGAAAGCAUCUAAGUGUGAAACCCACCUCAAGAUGAGAUUUCCCAUGAUUAUAUAUCAGUAAGAGCCCUGAGAGAUGAUCAGGUAGAUAGGUUAGAAGUGGAAGUGUGGCGACACAUGUAGCGGACUAAUACUAAUAGCUCGAGGACUUAUCCA